GAUGAACGCUGGCGGCGUGCCUAAUACAUGCAAGUCGAGCGAACGGACGAGAAGCUUGCUUCUCUGACGUUAGCGGCGGACGGGUGAGUAACACGUGGAUAACCUACCUAUAAGACUGGGAUAACUUCGGGAAACCGGAGCUAAUACCGGAUAAUAUUUUGAACCGCAUGGUUCAAAAGUAAAAGACGGUCUUGCUGUCACUUAUAGAUGGAUCCGCGCUGCAUUAGCUAGUUGGUAAGGUAACGGCUUACCAAGGCAACGAUGCAUAGCCGACCUGAGAGGGUGAUCGGCCACACUGGAACUGAGACACGGUCCAGACUCCUACGGGAGGCAGCAGUAGGGAAUCUUCCGCAAUGGGCGAAAGCCUGACGGAGCAACGCCGCGUGAGUGAUGAAGGUCUUCGGAUCGUAAAACUCUGUUAUUAGGGAAGAACAAAUGUGUAAGUAACUGUGCACAUCUUGACGGUACCUAAUCAGAAAGCCACGGCUAACUACGUG
RNAcentral lists this ribosomal RNA (497 nucleotides) under uncultured bacterium. Its description in RNAcentral is "partial 16S ribosomal RNA". It matches the Rfam family "Bacterial small subunit ribosomal RNA", at positions 28 to 507 of the family's 1533-position model. The record is from RNAcentral.